UGAAAGGCUGUGUGGUGCACGAAGUCGAGCGAUCUGGACAGUGGAGCGACGGAGACGGAGAGACAUAACAAGAAGUGCUGCCUCAUCCUCAGUGAGCUCAUCACAGAGCCACGAUAACAGCUCAUCUGAGAGAGGCUCUGGAAGACAAAAAGACUGUGUCUUUGUGUCCACACCUCCAUAGCCACCUCACUUAUUUUGUCAUUUUUAAAUGAUAGAAACUAGGAAAAGAUUUGAGAAUGAUCAUAGCAAACCACAAAACAGGCCAAAAGGGGGAAAAUAGAUAAGAGGCUGGAUUGCACAAAAGUUUAGGUGCAGUAAUUUGCAACAUAGGCUCAUUGGAAAUACUUGCCUCUAUCUACAUUUCUGCAAAACUCAAAAAAAUGUACUUAUACAUACGAAUCGUUUCCAGUUGAAAUUAACACUAGAGGCAGUAAAACUCCCACAACUUUUAUUCCUUUUCACACAAAGUAUGAUUUGCAGGUCCACAGUUUCGAUUAAUAAAGCCUAAUUUUCGCAUAAUUACUUGAGGAAUAUUAAGUUUGAAUUCAAAACAAUUUUAACAUGCUGCGAGAUUUGAGAACUGAUGCAUUUGAAGGUUAGCGUCACAUAUCCAGCUUCAUAUGCUUGAGAUUUGUAAUGUAACUCAGUAGGUUUGCUCGGUAGCUCACGCAAUAUGGGGUUGCACUUCUAGUGAUGAAGAGCUUCGGUACGAAUCCCGUGAAACUACGGUUCCACAAACCAGCUCAAAUCCGCAUGAGGAAGUUUAAAUGCAUCAACAAAUGCAUUUUUAUAUCACUUUUGCAUUUGUUAACCCUAUCGGGUAGGUUUAGGGUUGGGUUUGGUGCAGUGUAUAAUAUAUGUAUAACACAAUACAGCAUUAACUUUUAGCGACACUCCUCGGAUAUUUGAAUUAUGAACCACCGUAAUACUUACCUGAAGCAACAUAAUACAAACACAGCAAUAUGUGCCUAUUCAUGGAUUUCAUGUGACGUCACACAGUGGUGCGGCCGCCAUUUGUAGGACCGAAUUGCAAUUACGUCUAUCUGCUGUGCUGUGCUCUGGGCUGUGAUAACUGUGUGGAUGUAUGGGAUCCUUUUGAUUAAAUAUUUCUCCUAAGCAUAGAUGCGUUUACAUUUUAGUAUUUUACUUAGCAAGUUCAUAAAGGAAGUUGGAAAAGGUUAAAUUCGUGUGCGAGACUGCUGAUUUGAUCCACUAAAGGAGGUAGAGCUUUUUCACAUUUGGCACCCAAACUCUGGAAUAGCCUUCCUGAUAACGUUCGGGGUUCAGACACACUCUCUCUGUUUAAAUCUAGAUUAAAGACGCAUCUCUUUAGCCAAGCAUUCACAUAAUAAUCUUGUACUGCAUUUAUAUCUGAUCAAAUGUACAUUAUAAUUCUUUAGAUUGGGUUGAACAAAUCAUUUUUGCUUGAAUAGAACAGCAGCUACGCUAAUUAUGUCUCUAUCUGUUUCUCUGAUUCUGCCACGGGAUUAACAACUAGGAAUUACUGAAGCGUCAGUCUGGAUCCAACCCUUAAAAAGAUCCGAGAUGACCAAACACCUGAGAAGAGAUGAUGGCAACACCUCAGAGGACCACGGAGGAUGCCAACCCUCAGACAACAUACACAAUUACCAAGUUAAGUCUGUCAUAACUUAAAUAUAUUGGGUUUCUUCUGCGUGUAUGUGUAUAUAUAUGUGCAUGUGUGCGUAUGUGUAUGCAUAUAUAUAGUAGAAACUUAAUUUCCUGUAAAGUUGCUUUGCAACGAUUGUAUUGUAAAAAGCGCUAUACAAAUAAACUUGAAUUGAAUUGAAUUGAUUUGCCAGAAAACUUUCGUUGUUCUCCACCUAAAGCUAAUAAAUCAACGAGAUGUUUUUGAUCUUUGAUCUAAGAACAGUUAUGUGAGUCUAGAAUGUUUACGCUGCACUAAACUUUGACGAGCAAACAAACCCGAUGGAGAAGAAGAGGAGGAUGAUGACGUUCCAGCAGCGCCGCAUACAAGGGGAAAGUAACCAAGAGAAGUGUCAUCACAGAAGAAUUGGCAGAUGUUACUCCUCAGACGCCUGUGAACACCGAACAGUGCUUGGAGUCCAAGACAGUGGACAUCAUCUUUAUUAUACUUCUCUGACUGGACUAGGAAGGAGCAGUUAGAGUCGAUGAGAAAGUGCAGAAAUGAAAGCUCCCAAGCAAAGAACUCACUGGACUAAGAUGUGAAAAGACAUGCUGCACAAUGACCACAACUCCUGACAAGAGAUUUGAAAAAUGAGCAACACUCUUACAAAAAUUACUGCAGUACACUGAAGUACAACUGCAGUAAAACUGCAGUACAAAGUAGUAUAACUGCAGUACAAUGAAGUGCAACUGGAAAUUUGCAGUAUAAUGAAGUACCCUAUUGACCCGAAUAUAAGACGAUGUUUUUUCCUUGGAAAUACAUCUGAAAAAACGCGUUCGUCUUAUAUUCAGGGUCUAGAGUCUAGACUUUGACAUGUCAAUAAUACACCCACAACAAUAGGUGGCGCCAAAAACGCAUAAAACGAGUGUGCCAUGAAAUAUGUAAUGUAAUGUGUGUUGUAAAGAUCGCGAAUGAAAACAAAUGAAAAAGAAAAGCUUACAGCAGCAUGAUCGUGACUGUCAUGUUAGCCUGAUGGGACCAAACUUCCUCUGUAAGUGAUUUUAAAACAUAAGACAGUACCCAGAUUUGAAGACUACAAUAAGAUUUCACGUCUACUGAUAAUAACAUUUUGGUAGGCUACUAUGAGUUGGAUAGCCUAAUUGUUAUAUAAUUCAGAUGGGCUACCUGUUAUUUCAAUGGUAGCUAUAUCAAAAUUUUCCAAUGUCAUUGUUGGUACAUUUUACCAGUAUUUACCAUACUUUCAAAACAAAAAUUAGAAUUGGAAAAAUAUGCAAUAUGAAAAUAAUUUAAGAAUAAAUGUGUUUUGCAGAGAGAGAGAGAGAGAGAGAGAGAGAGAGAGAGAGAGAGAAAAAAAAAGAUUUGGUUUUCAAAAAGCCUUUUUCCAACAGGUACAUCUGGAAAAAGGGGGGUCGUCUUAUAAUCAGGGUCGUCUUAUAUUCGGGACAAUACGGUAUAUAACUGCUGUUCAUUAAAGUUCAACAGCAGUAAAACCGCAGUACAAUGAAGUACAACUGUAGAUUUGCAGUAUAAUGAAGUACAGAUACAAUAUAACUACAGUUCAGUGAUACGCUGAAAUGCAUGUGAAGAUUUCAGAUGCAAAAACUUCUAAGUCUGUCUGAUUAAAUUGAUUUUAUUUAUUUUUAUGAGCAUUUUUUAAAAACGCUCCUACAAUUAGGUUCAAUAAUUAAACUUUAAUGUCAAUGAGGUUCUUUUCAUUGCCAUUAAAGUCUUCAUGUAUAGGCCCUGUACUGCAGUUAUACUGUAUUAAUUUGUGCAACAUGUGCUGUUGUUACAGUAGACUUGGCAAGUGUCUUUUUAUUCAUUUAUUUAUUUUUUAUUUUUUUGCAAUGCAGACUUCCUAUUAAAUAUUCUUUGCUGUUUGAGACAUUCACUGUUGUUGUGUACCUUAAUUUAUUAUAUUGCAGUUGUGUGCAAAUAAAACUUGUUAUUCUGAAUUUUCUUGUUGCAUUUCAGUGUUAUUGUACAGCAUUUUAUUAGUAUUGCACUUUGGUUGUAUUGAGUAGUAGUUUUGCAGUUGUAUUUCAAUAGUACAUCAGAUGUAUUGCAGUAAAACGUGUCCAAAAAACUGCAUUUUUCUACAUGCAACAAACUGCAGUAUUACUUUUUUAAAAACUGCAAUAAUUUUUUGUAAGGGCAAGCAAGAACAGUAUUCACUGAUUACCUUUAAAAAUGAUUCAUAGUAACAGUUAGUA
Long non-coding RNA from Onychostoma macrolepis, 3840 nucleotides. RefSeq lists it as uncharacterized. The transcript has 3 exons. The record is from RefSeq and is a predicted model, not a curated record. Lineage: Eukaryota; Metazoa; Chordata; Actinopteri; Cypriniformes; Cyprinidae.